Molecule: long non-coding RNA, 782 nt
Organism: Peromyscus leucopus (white-footed mouse)
Lineage: Eukaryota; Metazoa; Chordata; Mammalia; Rodentia; Cricetidae
Exons: 3
Source: RefSeq, a predicted model, not a curated record
CGCCACCAUGACAGACAGCAUGUGAAGAUGCCGUACUUUGCUGAUGCCUGGGUGCAGGCUGGGAGUGUAAUUAGCCACUGGUGAUGGCUAUGGUGACUGCCAAGUUCCCUCUCUCAAGAAACUGACAGGAGAGAAUGCACCUGGUCACCCGGUGUCCGAUCACACCAAGAAGAGCAGCAUGACCCCUCCCUCUUUCCUUUUAAUGGGUCACAUAAGCAGGCAAGAAGUCAAGAAGUCAUGUACCCAGACAAGAAGCACUGCCUUUUUCAAGCUGAAUAGCCCAGGGUCUUGGGCAGAGCAAAUACCACUACAUGUAUUCAUGUAUACACACACACACACACACACACACACACACACACACACACACAAUAAAUAUAUAUAUAUAAUGUGUGUGUUUAUAACUUACUGCAUGAAGUUUUGAAGUACAUAUAUACUGAACAAUCACUACAUCCAGCAAAUUUACAUGAGUAUCCCCUCAUAAAAUUAUCAUUUCAUAGUGACAAUUCAUAAUGUCCACUCUCUUAGCAUUUUUCAAGCCUGGAAAUUUGUGCCUGUAAUCCCAGAACUCAGCAAGUUCUAGUAGGAGGCUCUUGAGUUUGAAGCCAGCAUGAGCUACACAAGGAGAAUGAAUACAUGUUAUUAUUUGUUGUGAAUUAUUAUGUUAAGAUGUGUUACAUUUGUUUAUAUCGUGGAACAUUUGUUUCAAUGAUGCAAAAAAUGUGUUGCAUUCUUUAACGUUGCAUGUGUUUAACUCUGUGAAGCUGUGUUACUUUGCCUGUCUA